Lacerta agilis (Sand lizard) is the source of this 253-nucleotide long non-coding RNA. RefSeq lists it as uncharacterized. The record is from RefSeq and is a predicted model, not a curated record. The transcript has 2 exons. Lineage: Eukaryota; Metazoa; Chordata; Lepidosauria; Squamata; Lacertidae.
AAUAAAAAUGGGGACGUCAUCAACUGCAAGUCAAGAUAUGCUGACCGGGUGGCCUGUCACUGGGAGUUCCGAUUCAAUGGGGUUGCAAAUCAUGGAAAAGGUGACUCUUCAUCUUCCUGACCUCAACUGACUGUGCAGGUAUGGCCAUGCCUAAACUGGAGCCAAAUGCAUGCUUCUUUGAAUCAGUUACCAACUCCUGGAGAAGCAAGGUCCAAACAUGGAAGAAACCCCAUAAAAUGUUUUGCAGUAUUCA